Molecule: ribosomal RNA, 433 nt
Filed under: uncultured bacterium
Lineage: Bacteria
Description: partial 16S ribosomal RNA
Rfam family: Bacterial small subunit ribosomal RNA
Source: RNAcentral
AACGAACGCUGGCGGCAUGCCUAACACAUGCAAGUCGAACGAGACCUUCGGGUCUAGUGGCGCACGGGUGCGUAACGCGUGGGAACCUGCCCUUAGGUUCGGAAUAACUCCCCGAAAGGGGUGCUAAUACCGGAUAAUGUCUUCGGACCAAAGAUUUAUCGCCUUUGGAUGGGCCCGCGUUGGAUUAGCUAGUUGGUAGGGCAAAAGCCUACCAAGGCGACGAUCCAUAGCUGGUCUGAGAGGAUGAUCAGCCACACUGGGACUGAGACACGGCCCAGACUCCUACGGGAGGCAGCAGUGGGGAAUAGUGGACAAUGGGCGAAAGCCUGAUCCAGCAAUGCCGCGUGAGUGAUGAAGGCCUUAGGGUUGUAAAGCUCUUUUACCCGGGAUGAUAAUGACAGUACCGGGAGAAUAAGCUCCGGCUAACUCCGUG